Molecule: long non-coding RNA, 1312 nt
Filed under: Homo sapiens (human)
Lineage: Eukaryota; Metazoa; Chordata; Mammalia; Primates; Hominidae
Description: androgen receptor regulated long noncoding RNA 1
Source: RNAcentral
UUUUUUUUUUUUUUUUUUUUUUUUUUAGUCCAUUCAGCCACUGUAUGUCUUUUGAUUGGAGCAUUUAAUUCAUUUACACUCAAUUAAUGAUAGGUGAGAUUCCAGUGUUUCCUCCAGAAAGGCACAUUAUUCCUCCACCAUGGUCUUCUUUUUCCUGUGUACCUUGACCCUGUAGGAGAUGAGACUUCUAAAGUGAUUCCUUUCCCUCUUUUCUCCUCAUCACCCCUUCCCACUCUCUAAGGUUUUCAGGUGCUGGUUCCAUGGCUCUUCCUGAGCCGAAAAUAAGGAAACUCCAUAGACCUUGUCCACUGGAACUCGUUCCCAUCUACCCUCCACUCUAUCCAGGGUGAUGGAUCUCUGCAGUAAGUGGAAGAGUUCUUCAUGGCCCCCAAGGUUAUAUCCAUCUAGAACUUCAGCACGUAAUUUCAUCUGGAAAUAGUGCCUUUGCGGAUAUAAGUUAGGUAAAACUGAAGAUGAGAUCAUACUGGAUUAGGAUGGGAUCUAAAUCCAAUGAAAAUGUCUUCAUAAAAAACAGGAAAGAACCCAUAGAAACACAAGGAAGAAGGUCAUGUGAAGAUGGAGGCAGAGAUUGGAGGGAUGCAGCCACCGGCCCAGGAAUGCCAGCAGCCACCCAGAAGCUGGAAGGAAAUGAGGGAUUCUCUCCUAGAACCUUUAGAGAGAACAUGGUCCUGUGAACAGCUUGAUUUUGGACUUGCCCAUAGCUUGUAUACUCUUACUUUGGAUACAAUUUUAUCCAAACUUGGCUAAACAGUUUCUCAGCCUAUGGAAAAUUUAAAAUGGAGAAGAUUCAACUCGAUUCUUACAGAUUCAAAGCAAGAAAAUGAUGGGAACAUAGGAGGAGACCAAGAAAGCCUAUAAAAAGCAAAAAUAUGAAGUGAACAUUGUGGUAGCUUUAAGAUGUUUAGUGUAGCUGCAGGCACCCUAUACACAUGAAAACCCCCAAGGGGAAUCCCCAUAUCACAGUGUAGUGUGAUAUUUGACAUUCGUGAUCAUCUAGAGAUGUACAGAAAAGGUGAAUCUGUGUUCUGUAUAUUCUGCCUAAGGCAAAGAAAUGUUUAGCUCUCUUUAAAAUAGUUCCAUAAUUUUUUCUAAAAAGCUUUGCUUGAAAACUGUAAGCUUCCCAUAUCUGGAGCAUUUCACUUUAAAUAUUUGGAUAAAUAUGUUAUCUUCUUACUUGGACAUUUCAUGUGUUUAGGGAUUGUCUUCUAAAUUCUUCCUAAUUCAUAUAGCUGCUAACACUUCCCGCAGAGCUAAACCAUUACAGAUAUGAAAUAAAGACCUAUUGAUUUGA